CUUUUUGAAUACAAUAUAUAAAUAUUUGCGCACACAAAGUUGUACUCUAUUUAGCCUUCAGAGAAAUCGAUUUGCAUAUUCCAUGGUAUUUCCAAUUGAUAUUAUUAUGCACAAACUUCAUACGUUGUCUAUUAUAAGAGCAAAUCUUUGUUGUCAUAAGACCCAACUUUCACUCUAUCAUAAGAGCAGUUCGUCAUACUCGUAAAAAUCAACUGGUUACUACUAGUUUGAACUAAAUAACCGUGUAUGUUUCCUGGAAAAUCAAUAGUGAGGGUGGCAUUAAAAGGAGAACUUUUCUGAGGAUGUCUUUUAGAUGAAUUCAUGCAUUAACUUAAUUAUUAAUCUAUUUACAACUAACUAUUCAAGUAUUCUCUUUUCUAAUCUGUUCAAUCUGUCUGCACAUUUUUUCUGAUAUUGUUCUCAAUGUUUUCUCAGUUCCUUUUAGGCAUGGAGAAUGUAUAGGUUUUAGUUACCUAGUGUCACAAAAAUAUGCUGUUAAAGUUCUACGUAAUUCUAAGAUUCUAAAUUUCAACAUCAAACUUACAUCACUCAGAAGGCUUUGCUCUUAAUGGUAAGCCGGUGACGAAUUUAAGGAGAUUGGCUGAGAUGGUAGAGAACUGCAAUGAUGAGUUUCUGAAAUUGGACUUGGAAUAUGAACAGACAGUAGUGCUUCGAACAAAGACAGCAGAAGCAGCUACUCCGGACAUUCUUGCAACCCACUGUAUACCAUCAGCAAUGUCAACUGAUCUCAAAGCAUUGAGACCAUGGACUUAAUUAAUUGAUUUUUUGUACCUUUUAUAUAUAGCUUUUCCUGUUUCUUUUUUUUUUUUUUGUGCGUGAUUACAUUUUGUAGAAUGGAGCUUCUUUAGCCUAGCGUUAUAUAGAAACAAUGACAUCUCUUUUUUAGAGGGAUUAAUACAGUUGACUCACACAUUACGAACAAGGCUGCCCAUGUAAUUCGUAUCAAUGACUUAGGUUCAAUAUUUUGGUUGUGAUAUUAUCAAA
This is a long non-coding RNA of Gossypium arboreum, 1005 nucleotides long. RefSeq lists it as uncharacterized. The transcript has 2 exons. NCBI's taxonomy places the organism in Eukaryota, Viridiplantae, Streptophyta, Magnoliopsida, Malvales, Malvaceae. The record is from RefSeq and is a predicted model, not a curated record.